This 343-nucleotide ribosomal RNA is filed under the name uncultured bacterium. Its description in RNAcentral is "bacterial SSU rRNA". It matches the Rfam family "Bacterial small subunit ribosomal RNA", at positions 8 to 349 of the family's 1533-position model. The record is from RNAcentral.
AGAGUUUGAUCAUGGCUCAGGAUGAACGCUAGCUACAGGCUUAACACAUGCAAGUCGAGGGGCAGCAUGUUGGUUGCUUGCAACCAAUGAUGGCGACCGGCGCACGGGUGAGUAACGCGUAUCCAACCUACCCUUGUCCAUCGGAUAACCCGUCGAAAGGCGGCCUAACACGAUAUGCGGUUCGCAGCAGGCAUCUAAGGUGAACGAAAUGUGAAGGAGAAGGAUGGGGAUGCGUCUGAUUAGCUUGUGGCGGGGUAACGCCACAAGGCUACGAUCAGUAGGGGUUCUGAGAGGAGGUCCCCCANAUUGGAACUGAGACACGGUCCAAACUCCGACGGGAGCA